ACCGGCUCGGUCUGUGUCACAAGCCUAACACAUGCAAGUCGAACGGUAACAGGAAGCAGCUUGCUGCUUUGCUGACGAGUAGGCGGACGGGUGAGUAAAUGUCUGGUGAAACUGCCUUGAUUGUGAUGAGGAGGAUUAAACCUACUUGGAAACGUGGUAGCUUAAUUACCUGCAUUAACAGAUCAGCAAAGACCAAAUGAAGUGGNGAGACCUUCAGAGUGCCUUCUUAUGCCAAUCUAGGAUUAGUUGCCCAGAAUGNGNGAUUUAUAGCUUAAGU
RNAcentral lists this ribosomal RNA (277 nucleotides) under uncultured bacterium. RNAcentral describes it as "partial 16S ribosomal RNA". The record is from RNAcentral.